This 446-nucleotide ribosomal RNA is filed under the name uncultured bacterium. RNAcentral describes it as "partial 16S ribosomal RNA". It matches the Rfam family "Bacterial small subunit ribosomal RNA", at positions 338 to 795 of the family's 1533-position model. The record is from RNAcentral.
CCUACGGGAGGCAGCAGUCGAGAAUCAUUCACAAUGGGGGAAACCCUGAUGGUUCGACGCCGCGUGGGGGAAUGAAGGUCUUCGGAUUGUAAACCCCUGUCAUGUGGGAGCAAAUUAAAAAGAUAGUACCACAAGAGGAAGAGACGGCUAACUCUGUGCCAGCAUCCGCGGUAAUACAGAGGUCUCAAGCGUUGUUCGGAAUCACGGGGCGUAAGGCGUGCGUAGGCGGUUUCGUAAGUCGUGUGUGAAAGGCGCGGGCUCAACCCGCGGACGGCACAUGAUACUGCGAGACUAGAGUAAUGGAGGGGGAACCGGAAUUCUCGGUGUAGCAGUGAAAUGCGUAGAUAUCGAGAGGAACACUCGUGGCGAAGGCGGGUUCCUGGACAUUAACUGACGCUGAGGCACGAAGGCCAGGGGAGCGAAAGGGAUUAGAUACCCUAGUAGUC